Acinonyx jubatus (cheetah) is the source of this 3403-nucleotide long non-coding RNA. RefSeq lists it as uncharacterized. The transcript is spliced from 3 exons. NCBI's taxonomy places the organism in Eukaryota, Metazoa, Chordata, Mammalia, Carnivora, Felidae. The record is from RefSeq and is a predicted model, not a curated record.
UAUUAAAUUUUGUUCACCUGGUUAAGGAGGCACUUUAAAAAACUCAUAUAUUGUAUUUGAAAUCUCCAAAGCCAUAUGAAAUAUCCAAAUUUUAGAGAUUUUUUAAAAGAUAUCCUUAGGAGUUGUGAUGUCCUAAGUACAAAAGAAUACAAGCAUCCCUCAGUGGUUCCCUUCAGAUCCAAAAAGUUCUCCAAGUUUAUAGUUUUGCAUCUGAAAACACUAAACCCAAUUAGUUCUCAAGGAACUUUGAGGAAUGCUAGAUUGUAGAUAUGACUGAUCAUGGAGUGGUGUGAAGGACCUUCAAGACAAGGGACUGGGAAGCUGAGCUGGUACUGAACAGUGUAGAUGGAGAAUGUGGCCUUGAAUUGAAGCCAUGGAAGACAGUAAAGAUGUUACUCUGAAUACAAAAGAUCCUUCAGGUCACAUUUCCAACUCAUAGCACUGAAAGAUCUUGUUUUUCCAUGGCACAAUUCUCAACAGCUGAAGAUAUUAUUUUGCUUUAUUAAAAAUUAAUCUAUGCUAUUUUCUAGUGACCACGUUUUAUGAAGAAGUAGUGAAAGUGUAGUUUGAUGUCUGCCUAAUGCACUCUUUAAUGACAACGUUUAUAGAAGCUUUAAGAAUUUGUAAUGAAGUAAUAUUAUCAAUCAAUUAAAGCACAAUGUAAAUUAUAAUUACAAAAGUAAAAUGAUAUACCUAAGUAGUGUGCAAUAUGAAUUUUCAUCUAUUGUUCUAGGACAUAAAAUAUGUUCAAUUAUUUCUCUAAACCAAUGGUUUUCAAAGCCCGAUUCGUGGACCAAUGCCAGUAUCAGGAUCACUUGGAAAGGUGUUAGAAAUUUAAAUUCUGGGGCUCUACCCAAAAUCUACUGAAUCAGAAACUUAGGAGAUAGGCCUCACAGUCUGUGUUUUAACAGGUCUGACAGUUAAAUCACAGUCUGUGAUUCUGAUGCAGGCUCAAAUUUGAGAAUCCUUCCUCUAGACCACUGGCUCUCAGUCAUAGGUGACUUUGCCUUCAAGGCACAUUUAUCAAUAUCUGCAGACAUUUUUAGUUGUCAUAACUGGGACAGAAGGUGCUACUGGCAUCUAGUGGAUGGAUGCCAGGGGUGCUACUAAGUAUUCUAAAAAUGCACAAGACAGCCCUCACCCCACAGCAAAGAAUUGUCCAGCCUAAAAUGUCCAUUGUGCCAAGGUUGAGAAACCCUAACUCGCCAAGAAAUUAAACCUCAGUCAGUUUCUGAGGGUUGGAGGGACUUCAUUCUCAAUCUGUAGCCUAAUGCCAGGCUUAGGUGGACCAGAAGGAAACAGGUUCUUAAUCCAGGUGAUUACCUUCAUUCCAGUGUUCUCUUUGCUAUUUCUUUUGAACUGUUGGGGCAAGGACCCCUCCCAGCUCACCUGUCACCACCAGGAAGAAUAUCCCUCCACACUCCCAACUAGACUCUCCCAUGAGACAAUUAUCAGAACUUCACAGAAUCCAGGCAUCCUGAAAUAACGUGCCCAGGGCAAGUGGGGGCAAUGGGUAACCAUGCCCUCCCCAUCACCUUCUGUCUCUCUCAGUUAAUAUCCACUCCCUAGGUCUUGGCACUCCUACUUCUCUCUCUCCAUAAACUCACCCAUGCGCUCUCCAUUAUGAAUCACUUUGUUUCAACCUGUACAGUGAAACACAAAAUCUUUUUAUUGUCUGGGGUUUCAGGUGGGUUUAGGAAGGUCUGCUUUUAGAAACAAUAUUGAGCCAGGGCACCUGUGUGUCUCAGUUGGUUAAGCAUCCAACUUUGGCUCAGGUCAUGAUCUCACAGUUUGUGGGUUUGAGCCCCGGCAUUGGGCUUGGUGCUGACAUCUCAGAGCUUGGAUCCUGCUUCGGAUUCUAGGUCUCUCUCUCUGCCCCUCCCCACUUGUGCUCUGUCUGUCUCUCUCAAGAACAAACAAACAUGAAAAAAAUUUUAGAAACAAUAUUGAACCAUUUUCCCUGGUGUGAGUGUGAGGAGGGGACAGACAGGCUAACAUUAAGUCUUUGUCUUAUUAACCCUCUCUGCUAUAUCAUGUGUAUCACGUUUAACCUAAUUUCUCCUAUGUACUUGUAUAUAUUUAGUGUACCUCUAAAGCAGUAAUCAGAGGAAAAGAUAAUCUCUACAGACCUAAUGAGCAGAAUAUGCUUGCUGAGUACUAAGGAAAAGGCCAUAGAAAGAAAGAGGAAUAAGUUAUAAUGCCCAGGAAAUAUUACCCUUUCCUGGAAGAUUUGGCAGGGCUCUACCAAUCCGUGUACUAGGAGUUCUAGGAGAAGCUAUUUGGGGCACCAGGUAGCUGAUGAAGGAGCAUCACAGAGAUCCCAGAAGUAUGGGAGGCUAAAUUCUGUGGGGCCCACUGAAGGAGUACCUGGGCUGCUUCAUAGUGAUAAAUCUAAAGGAAUCCCAUCUGCAGUUCGAGUGCAGGGACUGGGGUGGUCUUGCUGACCAAUCACACUGCUUCCCUGGAGCCCAAACAGUGCCAUUCCUUUACUGAUGAUUACAAUUAUAACUUAUUCUUUCUGUCUUCCCAGGCCUAUCUGACAUGGUCUUCUGUGCAGGGCUGCUUCACAGGGGCACACAGUGCCACUGGUUCCAGCCACAGGGUAUGGUGAUAUGGUCAAGUUUCUUACAAACUUUCUGCAUAGUUUUGUUACUCUUGUCAACGUGAGAAUAUAUGGGGAAGCCAAGUUUGUUUAGAUAGUGACUAUGGGAAUAGAUGACUUGGGUGAUAAGGCCGUGGGCCCGGUACUCAGGCAGGGUACCCGCCAUCCGUAACUCUCCUGUCUGGUCCAUCAGGUUCCAGGAUACAGGCGUCCUCUCAGGCCCCAGCAGGCAGAAGGUGGGGAAGUUCUGGAUACAGCGCUCGAUGAAUCUCUGGCUCCUCUCAUUGCCGCCAAAAUGCCAGAAUUUAUUCACCAAGGCAGCGUGGGUAACAUCCAGGGAGGAGGGUUUAAACAUCUCUUGGCAGCUAUGGAGGAAAAGCAAAGUCUCAUGGAGAAGGAGCAUGAGAAGUUCAUAUGAAAAGGCAGGAGAAUCUUUGCUCGUUUGGACAUCACUACAUCCCAUUCUGGAAUUUUCCCCAAGGAAAAUAAUUUUUUUAAGAGCAUUUAUUCGAACACCAGUGCUAUCAAGAAGGACAUUGUAGAGUCUGAGAAAGAGAAAUCCUCCAAACUGGAAGGGUCCCUGUGGUUGUGAGGGAAGGAAAUACAGCAAUGCAUACCAGUGUGGACCUUGGGAGCUAAGUGCAGUUGGAAACAUGAUGCUUCAGUAGAUUGUAUGGAAAGAUGCUAAAGACCAAGGACCAAUGAAAUGAUAAGUUCCAUGACAAAGGACCACACCUCACCCUGUACUUUCCUACUCCUGGCAUAUUUAAUACCAUAUUAAACUUAAUAUGAGAGGACAUA